GGGCUCUUAGCUCAGUUGGUUAGAGCGCUUCCUUGACACGGAAGAGGUCGGAUGUUCGAGUCAUCUAGAGCCCACCA
Molecule: transfer RNA, 77 nt
Filed under: Acidobacteriota bacterium
Lineage: Bacteria; Pseudomonadati; Acidobacteriota
Also listed under: 2 other names
Description: tRNA-Val
Rfam family: tRNA
About the family: Transfer RNA (tRNA) molecules are approximately 80 nucleotides in length. Their secondary structure includes four short double-helical elements and three loops (D, anti-codon, and T loops).
Source: RNAcentral